AUCAGUCUGUGUAAAUAAGAUACAUUGUUGUAAAUUGUUAUACAUUACAUUUUAGAUGCAUAAAUUAUUAUAGGUCACCUAACAUUUCUCCGAACAGUCCAGUCCGCGCUCCCCUCACACCCCCAAAAUGAAAAUGAUCCCUUUUCUCUGUCUGAAAUAAUGGGAGGUAUGCAAUACAGUUAAAUGCACUGGUAACUUAGUGUCUUCUCACCAUUUAAAUACCAGAUCUGCUAUCAAG
Molecule: non-coding RNA, 238 nt
Organism: Pelobates cultripes (western spadefoot toad)
Lineage: Eukaryota; Metazoa; Chordata; Amphibia; Anura; Pelobatidae
Source: the annotation of a GenBank genome assembly